GAGGGAAAAGGAGAUGGCAUGUCAAGGGAUGUGACAGCAGUUAAAUAAGUGGAUGUUGAAAGAAAACGGGUAGGAUUUAAAGUGGGACGUCUGUGCUUGGAGGCUUGCAAACAUUCAUGUUAACAGACUAGCUAGCGAUUGCUAACACUGGGAGUGUAGCAGCCAAAAAUCGAGUAAUUUAGGAUGCUUCU
Molecule: long non-coding RNA, 191 nt
Organism: Etheostoma spectabile (orangethroat darter)
Lineage: Eukaryota; Metazoa; Chordata; Actinopteri; Perciformes; Percidae
Exons: 3
Source: RefSeq, a predicted model, not a curated record